GUCUGAUAAACAGGUAGACAGACAGAUAGACAGUCUGAUAAACAGGUAGACAGACAGAUAAACAGGUAGACAGUCAGAUAAACAGGUAGACAGUCAGAUAAACAGGUAGACAGUCAGAAGCAGGUAGACAGUCAGAAACAGGUAGACAGACAGAUAAACAGGUAGACAGUCAGAUAGACAGGUAGACAGUCAGAUAGACAGGUAGACAGUCUGAUAGACAGACAGAUAGACAGGUAGACAGACAGAUAGACAGGUAGACAGUCAGGUAAACAGGUAGACAGUCAGAUAGACAGGUAGACAGUCAGAUAGACAUGUAGAGAGUCAGAUAAACAGGUAGACAGACAGAUAGACAGGUAGACAGACAGGUAGACAGUCAGAUAAACAGGUAGACAGGCAGAUAAACAGGUAGACAGUCAGAUAGACAUGUAGACAGACAGAUAAACAGGUAGACAGACAGAUAGACAGGUAGACAGACAGGUAGACAGUCAGAUAGACAGGUAGACAGUCAGAUAAACAGGUAGAAAGGCAGAUAGACAGGUAGACAGUCAGGUAGUUAGGUAGACAGACAGAUAAACAGGUAGACAGGCAG
RNAcentral lists this long non-coding RNA (589 nucleotides) under Salmo salar (Atlantic salmon). RNAcentral describes it as "lncRNA (ENSSSAG00000117913.1)". Lineage: Eukaryota; Metazoa; Chordata; Actinopteri; Salmoniformes; Salmonidae. The record is from RNAcentral.